This 88-nucleotide ribosomal RNA is filed under the name Escherichia coli. RNAcentral's name for it is "partial 16S ribosomal RNA". It matches the Rfam family "Bacterial small subunit ribosomal RNA", at positions 1 to 88 of the family's 1533-position model. The record is from RNAcentral. RNAcentral also lists the same sequence under 1 other name. Lineage: Bacteria; Pseudomonadati; Pseudomonadota; Gammaproteobacteria; Enterobacterales; Enterobacteriaceae.
AAAUUGAAGAGUUUGAUCAUGGCUCAGAUUGAACGCUGGCGGCAGGCCUAACACAUGCAAGUCGAACGGUAACAGAAAGAAGCUUGCU